RNAcentral lists this ribosomal RNA (250 nucleotides) under uncultured beta proteobacterium. Its description in RNAcentral is "partial 16S ribosomal RNA". It matches the Rfam family "Bacterial small subunit ribosomal RNA", at positions 524 to 773 of the family's 1533-position model. The record is from RNAcentral. Lineage: Bacteria; Pseudomonadati; Pseudomonadota; Betaproteobacteria.
UACGUAGGGUGCAGGCGUUAAUCGGAAUUACUGGGCGUAAAGCGUGCGCAGGCGGUCUAUUAAGACAGGUGUGAAAUCCCCGGGCUUAACCUGGGAACUGCGCUUGUAACUGAUAGGCUUGAGUGUGGCAGAGGGGGGUGGAAUUCCACGUGUAGCAGUGAAAUGCGUAGAGAUGUGGAGGAACACCGAUGGCGAAGGCAGCCCCCUGGGCUAACACUGACGCUCAUGCACGAAAGCGUGGGGAGCAAAC